CAUGCAGGUGGCUCUGCAAGUGGGAUGUGAAAGCCCCUGGCUUAACUAGGGGAGGUCGUACCAAACUGCAGGGCUGGAGGUCGGGAGAGGAAAGCGGAAUUCCCGGUGUAGUGGUGGAAUGCGUAGAUAUCGGGAGGAACACCAGUGGCGAAAGCGGCUUUCUGGCCCGCACCUGACACUAAGAUGCGAAAGCGUGGGGAGCGAACG
RNAcentral lists this ribosomal RNA (207 nucleotides) under uncultured bacterium. Its description in RNAcentral is "partial 16S ribosomal RNA". It matches the Rfam family "Bacterial small subunit ribosomal RNA", at positions 568 to 774 of the family's 1533-position model. The record is from RNAcentral.